This 170-nucleotide transfer-messenger RNA is filed under the name Klebsiella pneumoniae. RNAcentral's name for it is "partial transfer-messenger RNA". It matches the Rfam family "transfer-messenger RNA", at positions 196 to 374 of the family's 374-position model. Rfam says of the family: Bacterial tmRNA, also known as 10Sa RNA or SsrA, is named for its dual tRNA and mRNA-like properties. Lineage: Bacteria; Pseudomonadati; Pseudomonadota; Gammaproteobacteria; Enterobacterales; Enterobacteriaceae. The record is from RNAcentral.
AGAGAUCGCGUGGAUGCCCUGCCUGGGGUUGAAGCGUUAAAUCUAAUCAGGCUAGUUUGUUAGUGGCGUGUCUGUCCGCAGCUGGCAAGCGAAUGUAAAGACUGACUAAGCAUGUAGUGCCGAGGAUGUAGGAAUUUCGGACGCGGGUUCAACUCCCGCCAGCUCCACCA